GACGAACGCUGGCGGCGUGCCUAAUACAUGCAAGUCGAACGCUUCUUUCCUCCCGAGUGCUUGCACUCCAUUGGAAAGAGGCGUGGCGGACGGGUGAGUAACACGUGGGUAACCUACCCAUCAGAGGGGGAUAACACUUGGAAACAGGUGCUAAUACCGCAUAACAGUUUAUGCCGCAUGGCAUAAGAGUGAAAGGCGCUUUCGGGUGUCGCUGAUGGAUGGACCCGCGGUGCAUUAGCUAGUUGGUGAGGUAACGGCUCACCAAGGCCACGAUGCAUAGCCGACCUGAGAGGGUGAUCGGCCACACUGGGACUGAGACACGGCCCAGACUCCUACGGGAGGCAGCAGUAGGGAAUCUUCGGCAAUGGACGAAAGUCUGACCGAGCAACGCCGCGUGAGUGAAGAAGGUUUUCGGAUCGUAAAACUCUGUUGUUAGAGAAGAACAAGGACGUUAGUAACUGAACGUCCCCUGACGGUAUCUAACCAGAAAGACACGGCUAACUACGUG
This 508-nucleotide ribosomal RNA is filed under the name uncultured bacterium. Its description in RNAcentral is "partial 16S ribosomal RNA". It matches the Rfam family "Bacterial small subunit ribosomal RNA", at positions 28 to 507 of the family's 1533-position model. The record is from RNAcentral.